Lactuca sativa (garden lettuce) is the source of this 791-nucleotide non-coding RNA. Lineage: Eukaryota; Viridiplantae; Streptophyta; Magnoliopsida; Asterales; Asteraceae. The record is from RefSeq and is a predicted model, not a curated record.
UACAAGAUAGUGUCGAUCAUCGCUUUAGAUAAGUCGUUUCCAAGAGAAAGGUACAUCUUCUCCCAUUUCCCCAAAAAGAAGCCCUUCAUAAGACACAUUCCUUCCAUCCUCACAACCGAACGACGCGCUUCUAUCCUCACAACCUCAGAACGACACAACUUACCGCUAUAUCAAUUCAAUCCUUCGUAUCGUCGUUUCUCUUUCAACGCCUCACCUUCUAUAUAAAGCCUUUUUCACUGGUGCCCAUCAAAUUAGACCGGCAACUCCAUUUGGGAGAUACUCUGGUUUCUCAGUGCAGCGUGACAGAUAUAAAUAUGGCCUUUGGGUGUAAACCAUCAAGUUUUUGAUUAUCGGUGGUGAUGCUUAUAUGCUGGUACAAGUUGGUAUUCUCCUGUGUAUAAGUUGGGAAGAUUGGUUUUGGGCAGGCUUAUGUUGGGAGGCAGGUAAGCAGUGGUACAAAAAAAACAGGUGCUUAUUAUACAGUCAAGCUGCAUAGAAAUAAUAAACAAGGAUACCCGUGAUGCCAGCUGCAAAAUAGAUACAAUGAUUGAUGCAUCAUAUAAGCAACUGCAGUGGUGCCGGACAAUUUGAUCAAGAGAACCCCACUAUGAGGUUAUUAUGUCCAUUAAUUGGUCAUUGUUGUCAUAUUCUUACCGCAUAACAUUGCACAUUAUAAAAUGUGACAAUUUUAUCAAGAGAACCCUACUAUGAAUCAGUGUAAUAUUGAUAUGCCUGCAAAAAUGUUUAAUUAUAAAUUCAAUUGAUGAAUGAAAAAAAAACUGAAUUGAUCA